UUAGUGGAAGCGUCUGGAAAGGCGCGCGAUACAGGGUGACAGCCCCGUACACAAAAGCGCAUGUGCUGUGAGCUCGAUGAGUAGGGCGGGACACGUGGUAUCCUGUCUGAAUAUGGGGGGACCAUCCUCCAAGGCUAAAUACUCCUGACUGACCGAUAGUGAACCAGUACCGUGAGGGAAAGGCGAAAAGAACCCCGGCGAGGGGAGUGAAAAAGAACCUGAAACCGUGUACGUACAAGCAGUGGGAGCACAGGUUUACCUGUGUGACUGCGUACCUUUUGUAUAAUGGGUCAGCGACUUAUAUUCUGUAGCAAGGUUAACCGAAUAGGGGAGCCGSAGGGAAACCGAGUCUUAAUUGGGCGUUAAGUUGCAGGGUAUAGACCCGAAACCCGGUGAUCUAGCCAUGGGCAGGUUGAAGGUUGGGUAACACUAACUGGAGGACCGAACCGACUAAUGUUGAAAAAUUAGCGGAUGACCUGUGGCUGGGGGUGAAAGGCCAAUCAAACCGGGAG
Molecule: ribosomal RNA, 512 nt
Filed under: Salmonella enterica
Lineage: Bacteria; Pseudomonadati; Pseudomonadota; Gammaproteobacteria; Enterobacterales; Enterobacteriaceae
Description: partial 23S ribosomal RNA
Source: RNAcentral